This 639-nucleotide ribosomal RNA is filed under the name Staphylococcus aureus. Its description in RNAcentral is "partial 23S ribosomal RNA". It matches the Rfam family "Bacterial large subunit ribosomal RNA", at positions 2284 to 2925 of the family's 2925-position model. Lineage: Bacteria; Bacillati; Bacillota; Bacilli; Caryophanales; Staphylococcaceae. The record is from RNAcentral.
CGCCUCCUAAAAGGUAACGGAGGCGCUCAAAGGUUCCCUCAGAAUGGUUGGAAAUCAUUCAUAGAGUGUAAAGGCAUAAGGGAGCUUGACUGCGAGACCUACAAGUCGAGCAGGGUCGAAAGACGGACUUAGUGAUCCGGUGGUUCCGCAUGGAAGGGCCAUCGCUCAACGGAUAAAAGCUACCCCGGGGAUAACAGGCUUAUCUCCCCCAAGAGUUCACAUCGACGGGGAGGUUUGGCACCUCGAUGUCGGCUCAUCGCAUCCUGGGGCUGUAGUCGGUCCCAAGGGUUGGGCUGUUCGCCCAUUAAAGCGGUACGCGAGCUGGGUUCAGAACGUCGUGAGACAGUUCGGUCCCUAUCCGUCGUGGGCGUAGGAAAUUUGAGAGGAGCUGUCCUUAGUACGAGAGGACCGGGAUGGACAUACCUCUGGUGUACCAGUUGUCGUGCCAACGGCAUAGCUGGGUAGCUAUGUGUGGACGGGAUAAGUGCUGAAAGCAUCUAAGCAUGAAGCCCCCCUCAAGAUGAGAUUUCCCAACUUCGGUUAUAAGAUCCCUCAAAGAUGAUGAGGUUAAUAGGUUCGAGGUGGAAGCAUGGUGACAUGUGGAGCUGACGAAUACUAAUCGAUCGAAGACUUAAUCAA